UGGCACUUCUGGUCUCAGACUCA
This 23-nucleotide microRNA is filed under the name Bos taurus (domestic cattle). RNAcentral describes it as "bta-miR-2349". The record is from miRBase by way of RNAcentral. Lineage: Eukaryota; Metazoa; Chordata; Mammalia; Artiodactyla; Bovidae.